CAGCUCCGUGCGCAUGCGCGCCGUGGGCGAGCGGAGGCAGCGGUUCGCUGUGGGCACGGCGGCAGCGGGCCCGGGAAAUGGCGGAGACGGGGGUUUGGGGCAGGAACGCCCGCUGGAAGAAUAGAAGUGGUACAGAAAUCUGUGGAUGAAAUUGCCCAGAGAGAAGACAGCAGGAGGAAAGAGUUAAAGUCCAGAGGAAAGGGCUCUAUAAUCUGCGUGGACAGCUGGAGAGGGAAGCUGCUGUCCUGUAGUGACAGACAGAAGGCUGAUGGCUGCUGGUGUCCUGAGUGCAAAUUUUAAAAAGUUUACUUCGCCAGGAAUUGCCAAGGAGAGGAAUUACCUGAUUAUAUAUCCUUGCGUUGUGGAUUUAUUUUAAACUCUCUGCAGUGUUUGACAAUGAAGAUUCCUUAUCCUUUUGAGCUUGAGCUUUAAGGCCAGGAAACAUAUUCCCUUCCCUUAUCCACCUCCUCAAAAAAGGUUAAUAUUGAAAAUGGUGAUUGAGAAUGAACUGUAUGAGGGCAUACUGCUAGUGUGUGCAUAUAUGUGCACAUGUGCAUCAGUUACUGGAUUUCAAAGUUGUCUUUUUAAAUCGUCUGGAGCUUCUGAGGGCAAAGCAAAAGCAGACAAAAUGCUCCAAGAGUGCAGAAGAGUAGAUUUCUGACAAAAAGAAGAAAGGCACAGAAGGAGCAUAACUGACAUCAGGAGCCCCACUAGCUAUUUAGUUGGAAGCCAGAUGGUUGGAAAGCACUUGUUCUGGAUGCACCUCAGUUUUUACACAUCAAAGAAUAAGAUACACUGUAGAGAUGGAACUUUGAAGACGGAAAUUAAUAGGGUCUAUGCUUCGUCCUUCAGAAAACCUCAGAUCCAAAAUAUCAUGAAUUUGGCAGUUUCAAGUUUUGGUCAUAGUGGCAGAGACUGAUCAAUCCCACCCAUGGGAGAACUGCAGAACUAACUACUGUACAGUGAAGUCUGCUUCUCUUUACAAUCUGAAAAAGACUAUUUAA
Non-coding RNA from Phalacrocorax carbo (great cormorant), 1004 nucleotides. The record is from RefSeq and is a predicted model, not a curated record. Lineage: Eukaryota; Metazoa; Chordata; Aves; Suliformes; Phalacrocoracidae.